ACAGUGAACUCGACAGUUCCGGGUCGUCGACAAUUCCGGGUCACAUUCAGAAAAAUAUGUUUAUUAUUUGGAAAUGAUUUAGUUUUUCAUUAAUUUUAUAAUCAAGUCAUAUUGACUAAUAACUUAGCUACUUUCACGUUGAUUUCGGAUGUUGUCAUUUGAAGAAUGGAUGUCGCAAUCACGAAACGCUUGACUGCAUCAUUUCCCACGAAAGUGAAAGCAGAUAUUAUUUGUUUACAUGCCACCGCAAAAACUGUUAUUUGUAUCAAUAAUUUAAGUAAUACAGGAAUAUGGCUCCGAAGAGAAAACGGAACAUACCUGUUGUUCACAUUGCAGACCCUGUUGGAGAAGAUGAACCAUUCCAGUGUCCUGAUUGUACACUGAAGAUGUUAAUAUUUGUUUGAAAACAUAUUUCUUAACCCAUUAACGAUUCGGUUGAACACAAUCAACAGACAAGAUGUUCAGAGAGUGUUUGUAUCAGUAAUGAUGAUGAUAGACAAGAUAUUUCAGUCAUUGAGAUACAGAAAUCAGUUAUCAAGGGGUACCAUGCUUACAAGAUUCGGCCACCAUAUACAGUACCUCCAAUGCGCUAAAGAGUUAAUUGUUGUAUCAUAGUUUGGGGACCUUUCUGUUGAAAAUGUGACAGAGUUAAAUCGUAUACAUAUACAUGCACAGUGCGUUAACUGGAGUGCAGGUAUUAGUUACCCUCACUCCAGAGCAUGCCCAUUGAUUGGUUCAUUUUGUCCGGGGUUUACAUAUUAUGACGACAGAGAAAGGGAUAGCGAUGGAAAUAUCCUAUUCAGAUGCUAGUUCAUUCAACAUUGGUUACUUUUUUGUGGGGUUUCAUAUUGUGUCGAUGCUCUUUCUAUUACAUAGAGAAUACACAAAUAUUAAAGACAUUAAUGCUUGUUUGGUGUGGGUACCACCAUUAGACCAGUUCAAUGAAAAUAUGCACUCAAUAGUAACAGAUGCCAAACAUUUUUUAAAAUUAUUUGAUAUUGCUGAUCUGCCUGUAGGGCAUGUUCUUAUGUCUUUGGCAGGGUUGUUUCGUUCUGUAUUUGAUGAAGGCGGUAAUAUAUUUGCCGAGGCCACAGGAGAACCAAUACCUAGUUUCCCACCAUGGCCUUCACAAAAUGAAGAAGGCAGAAGGCGGGGGAGUGGUUAUUCCUGCAACAUAUUUUAUAUUUACAAAACAAAACAUUAAUGAGGUUAUGUCUCGGUUAAGAGUAAUAAACACUUCAGUUAAAGAGUGCUACGAAAUGUUGGUGAUAUAUAAGUAGCAGCCUUUGUAUGUAGAAAGUGAUUUAAUAUUCAACAUAUUGUGACCCUAGAUAUUACUAAUUCCAUGUUAACUUACUGUGAUUUUUCAUUUUUCCACUCAUGGUUUAAUACAUGUCUUGCAGUCUAUUUUUUCUUUCCAUGUUUUUAUAUGCAAUAUUUUAUGUUUUUAUAUGCAAUAAGUAAUUGCAGGUGAUUUUUGUUCUUCUUUUGCCUGUGAUAUAUUCUACCUCUUUCAUUUACAUUUUAUUUUUAUAUUGAACAAAAAAUGCUCAAUAAAAGUGUUGUUAUUAUGACAUCUGUUUUGUUGAAUAUUACAUCGUUUGAGAUGCCCCCCCGAAGACAAAUAUAAACAUUUUAUCACGUGACCCGGAAAUGGCAAGUGCGACCCGAAACUGUCAAAUAUACAGCGGGCAGAUGAAUACUCUGAAAAAUAAGUUUACCAAAUUAUUAGAAUUGUUGAAUUAUAUCAUAGUAAGGAGGAAAUAUUUGUUGCACAAUUAAAGCAGUUUAGUUUCUCUCAACUUUCGUUUCAAAGAGUCGCGCUUCGGUAAUUUCGUUACU
Long non-coding RNA from Ruditapes philippinarum (Manila clam), 1842 nucleotides. RefSeq lists it as uncharacterized. Lineage: Eukaryota; Metazoa; Mollusca; Bivalvia; Venerida; Veneridae. The record is from RefSeq and is a predicted model, not a curated record. The transcript has 3 exons.